Long non-coding RNA from Dicentrarchus labrax (European seabass), 4642 nucleotides. RefSeq lists it as uncharacterized. The record is from RefSeq and is a predicted model, not a curated record. The transcript has 4 exons. Lineage: Eukaryota; Metazoa; Chordata; Actinopteri; Moronidae.
CCCUCGUCGUGUUUUAUGGUAUUUUAUAAAAUUCAAAGAGAAUAUCUGCAAUAUUUAUACUAUAUUUCCAAGUACGGACAGUUCUGCAUGGGUGUCUGUAGCCAUCCUGCUCUCUGGAAUGAUUGUUCUGCCUUUCUCUUUCAUGCAGCAACAAUUUAGUCAUAUAUUUGCCGCAUUAUUUUAUAUAUAUGUUGUUACAUGUCUGUCUGUCUUGGAUAUAGUCGAUAUAUACAUAAGCCCAGAGAGACAGACAUACAUAGCCUACAUACAGACAGAGAUACAUACAGAUAGGUAGAUAGACAGAGAGAGAGAAAGAGAGAGAAAGAAGACAGCCAAAGCUCCAGUUUAGACAAAUGUAACAAUGAUUAAAAAAAACCCCAACAACAUUUUUGUCUCACAGCUGACAGUUUGUCUUUGUUACUCAGUGAUAAGUUACUUCAUUGUUAUAUACACCAACAAUUAGCAUGGAGGCAGAUUUCCACACAGUUAUCUUUUUCCACUUUCAUUUUCUGUGCUGUUACACAAAAUGCAGAAGCAAACCUAUGUGUGACCAUAAUAGAAACAAAGGUUUGAAAUUUACAACUGAAAUCUCUGCUGCGGUAUUUUUGGUCAGCCUGUCAAGCUGGAGAGUGACACAAAGCUUUCAGCACACAGUAAACUAAUUCAAGUGUCUUAAGUGGAAGAGGCCCCCGUAUUGUCAACUUGAGUAUUUGUUACUGUAAAUUUAAAGUGUGCAAUGGAUAAAGUGUUUGAUGCGGUGGGAACAUCAGCUCCAUUGUGGGCCAAACUUAUUUGUGUUUAAUUCAUUUUACAAGGUGUCACGGCUGGAUUUGAGGCCCGACACUUGGCUGAGGACGGUCCUAGCUGCACAGUUUGGGUACGAGACGAUCCUUGUCUGAAAGCUAUAAACUAGACCACAUUAUAUUUCCAGUAAAAGGAAUAUUCAAAUGUUCUCAAUAUUUCUUGAAUGCCCUCAAGGAACUAAAGAAGUCCAAAGUUAUUGCGGCAAGUUGUACAUUUACUGUCUGACUGAUUGUAAUUUAUGCAGCUGUGAUACUCCUUGGAUUCCUGAUUUUCUCUUUUUUUAACCCAGUACGUCAUAUUCCAGUUUACUGUAUAUGUACAUGGAGACAAAAGAUACCUGAACUUGGAUAAAGUGGUCUAAACCAGUUUCACUGUGACUUCUAUUGUAUGGAAGCGAUACACUCUGUUUCUAAUCAGGCUUGGUUUUAUCCUCGCCCGCUCCCUGCUCCUCAGCCUAAUCAAACUCAUAUAUGCAGGCAGAGUGCCUGCAAUUACACAUAAGCCCCUGCCUUGUGCAUGUGUGUGAGCGAGAGUGUGUGCAUGAGCAUUGUGAGAGUGUGUGUGUGUGUGUGUCUUUGUGAAUACAAUUCUGUAUGUGCGUAUGUCUAACUGUGUGUGUGUGCAAGGGUGCGGUUUUGGGGGGUUGAAGUCACCCCAGUGCUCGAAUGCCAAGUUUUUCUGGGGGAUAUGAAGCUGUGCAGCUUUACGAGACCUCAGCCUAUGUAGGAUACUUAGACACUCACACCACAGACACACAUGCAUAGAAUGUACAGUAUACACACAUGUGCACACACACAUAUACGUACACGGCCACAAAUGUCUUGUGGCCAGAGAUAUGCUGGCACAAGCAACUAGAAAAGGAAUUAGAAUCAGAAACAGGAGAAAAUUACAAAAUAAAAGUGGAAGAAAGUGAAGCAUAUUGAGGUGUAGUCUAGUCCUCCUUUCCCAUAGUCUCUCCUCUUUCCAAACCACACCCCACCACGGCACAGGCCCAAACCCCAGAGCCUUUGUGUGCUCCCUCGCUUUUCCCUCUUUCUCUUUCUGUCUACCCGCUUUUCUAUUUCUCCUUCGUUCUUUUUAGUGACCUUUUUUCUCUUUUUUUCUAUCUUUUAGCUGUCACCUCUCUCUUUCUGCCGUCUUAAUCACACACACUGUCCCUUUCGUCUGUCUGACUUUACUGGCCCGUCUUUGUCUCGCUGGCUACAGUCUUGGCCCAUACGACCACGUCAGUAUUCAACACAGGCGCUUGGCUGCAACAAACAAACUAUAGCAACCACAGGAGUUACAAAACACUGAUGCUCAGGUUUUCUCUCCAAAUUCUCUUUUUGCCCGUGAUCAAACACGUCCUCUCUGACCAUCACCUAUGAAAGCCCCCGAAGCGCACAGGGCUCUAGCGGUUUUCUGAGUUUGCCAUUAAAAAAGCACACGAGAAAACCAUAUGGUGUGUCUAAAGUUAGCAUGUUGUGGUCUCCCAUUGACACACAGCACUGCCCAUAUACUUGCUGUUUACCAUCGCCUGUGGCUAGGCCAUUAAAUAUUAAAAGUGAUGUAGCAUACUGAUACUGCCAUUAGCAUGCUAAAUGUGUGAGACAGGUGGUUGAGGCUGCCUUUCCAAAGGCAGGAAAUAUGUGAACGGAAAAUGUGUGUAACUGUGCCGUUUACUACGCUGUACAGUGUAAAUAUUGUUUGAGUAAGCUGUUUAUGUGUGCUCUGGGAGGGAGCAUGCCAGUCAAAUGCAUACAGGCAUAUGCAGUCAGAAAGAAAUGGCUGACUGGCCGUUAUGGCUAACAAGCAUAUCAUACACAGUGUGGAUCCUGGAGACUCUAUGGAUCUGUUUGCAAUCUGAGUGUGUGUGCGGAGCAAUGUGUUACGCCUCCUGCUUUUUAUGUGUUUACUGUGUGAAAUAGCUCCAUAUACGUUUUACUCAACUGGUUUGGAUUCCUGCCUUUCUACCGUGUUUGUAUUCAACAGGAAGAAAAUGUAUAGAUUUCAGGUAUCAUAAUUUCUUCAACAUGUCAGAUUACAGCACGCAGGCAAAAGGAGAGGUUUUUACCAACCAGCCAAACUGUCGUCUAUAAACUCAAGCUGAAAGACGACAUGCUGUUUUUUACUAAAGAUAUGAAAACUACCACAUGCAGAACAUGUCAGAAAGUGUCCUGUAAAAGACAAAAAAAUCUCAUAUUUUUGUUUUGUAAUGCUUUUCAGUUUUAUUCUGUUUUAACUGGCUGCAGCGUAGCAUAAAUAAACCUUGAAAAAAUAAUUGUCACAGAAAAGUUGACAUUUUGAGGAAAUAUGGUGUUCAUGCAGGGUACUGUUGCCACAUGUCAGCACAUUUGACACAUGGGUUCAGGGCAUCCAUGAUGACAUGGGGGAGAUUUUACAGGUAGUGCAUAUACAGUAUGAACAUGCUCACGGUAAGAAUGUCAACACUCAGAAACGUGUGUGUAUUUCCUGGACACAUUAACCCCAGAACCUACAAUUUAAGAUCUGAAGAAUGAAGAUAAUUUAGUGGUUAACAUCCCCACAGUGCAGUCUGACCCUGUAAAAAUUACUCUGCAACAUGCACUGAUGAGUCUAUUGUACUCUGAAUGCCCUCCUCCUCCCAACUGUGGUAAAUCUUUAUAAAGGAUUAUAUUUAAUGGACUGGGCUUGUUUGAGUGUCCAGGAAAUAAAUCUGUGAGACAUCGACAUGACAGGGACAGACAAAGAGAGCUUGUAGUGUGUGUGUGUGUGUGUGUGUGUGUGUGUGUGUGUGUGUGUGUGCGUGUGCAUAUAUACCCUAUAUGUAUCAGACACGAGGAAACAUUCAGGCAUCCCUGGACCUCUAGAAGGAUCGUCGUUCACCAGGUACGUGUCAGUAGCCUAAAAAACAACAACAAAGAGAUGGUUAUUUAAUGAAAUGUUUAAUUAAAGAGUGCAAUGAUUUUGUCAUAAUAUUAACAACUUUCUUAGGAUGCAGAGGUCAGUCAUUUUUGGCACUAAGGCACCAGAAAUUCUAGCAUUUGUUGAAUUAGUAGCUGCUGAAUAAACCUGCAGUGAAUUUGUGGCCCAAUACAAUAUAUGAAAACAUUUUACUCAGACAUUUAAAUGAUUUAAUUUCUCUCCAUAUUUACCUAAAUGCAAUUUUAUAUCUAGCAUUUUUUUUGUUUUGUUUUGUUUUUGAACAAAUGUCAAACAACACUGCCCCUAAGAAAUAAUGCAGUUAAAAAAAGUUAGCAUUUUUCACAAAAUUCUAAGAAUUUAUUAAAAUCCAGUGAGACAGUUGUGUCCUCAGGUCACCCUGAUCAAACAUAGAUUUUCUUGCUUCCCCUUUGUGAGACAAUCCUAAAAUUUAACUGUACUAUAUGAAUCAGCCUUAUAACCCCUACUGGUUUCAUUUCUCCACAGAAAGCACGGCGCCUGCUAACAACUCUUGCACUAUACAUCCCUAGCCAGAAUGUCUUCUCUUUUUAUAGCCGAGGCCUCCAGCUCCUUAAGGGGGCAACACAGUGCCCAUUGUUGAGUCUCAAGAAGAGGAUGAAGCCAGGAACGGAGUGAGAGAGGCCUGCUGAUAAGACUGCAAAGCAUUAUGGGAAUGGGGUAGCAGAGUUCCUCAGGGCUCCUUGGCUGGCUCUCUAUCUGUCUCUCUCUCUCUCUCUGGGUAUAUGUGUUGACGACCAUAUGGCCACAUUCUUUGGAGGAGGUCCUGACCUGAAACCUGCCAGAGGACUACUGAAUUGCAGUUUUUGUAUAAUAGUAUUAAGAAGACUGCUUGGCCAACUGUGUUUGCAGUUACAUUAUUGGUGGAACGGGAAUAUUGUGUUUCUAAUAAAGAAAUACUGUAUUCUUACCUUUUAAA